Molecule: non-coding RNA, 948 nt
Organism: Neofelis nebulosa (Clouded leopard)
Lineage: Eukaryota; Metazoa; Chordata; Mammalia; Carnivora; Felidae
Source: the annotation of a RefSeq genome assembly
AGAACCAACAGGGGCAGUGACCUCCCAAGCAAACCCUCUGUCAGGGCCACGGACACACAUGCAGAAGACAGGAACCUGAGCAGAGAGUCACUGGGUCCCUUCCGUCAGACACUGCGAUGAGCUGCCAGCCCCUCUGCUGUGUGGUCCUUUGUGUCCUCGGGGCAAUCCCCGUGGAUACUGUAGUUACCCAGACACCAAAACACCUGGUCGCAGCGACAGGGAGUAAGGGGACCCUGAAGUGCGAACAACGUCUGGGACAUAACGCUAUGUACUGGUACAAACAGAGUGCUCAGAGGCCACCGAAGCUCAUGUUUGCCUACAACUAUAAGGAACUCGCCGAAAAUGACAGUGUCCCCAGUCGCUUCACACCCGAGUGCUCAGACAGCUCCCACCUGCACCUUCACGUGGCCGCCCUACAGCCAGAGGACUCCGCCGUGUAUCUCUGUGCGAGCAGCGAGGACACAGCCCCGCACAGCCAACGGCUCCCCGUGCACAAACUUCCUGGGUGCAGCCGGGGAGCCGUGGGGGCGACCACGGCUCAGCUCGACAUCUCCCGUGGGACCCCAGACAGACAGAAACCCCAGGCCACGACGUGCCGGUCGGUUCGCUGGAUGCGGCAAGGCCCAGUUCCCUGCACAGACGCCCACAGCCUGUGGCCUGGCUCUGCCCGGGGCCAGACUGUGCCCGCGGCUGAGUGCGGGACGGAAAGGGUCCACCUCCAGUUCCUCCGGUAGCUUCCGAUCGAUCGGCACGUGGCCCCGGGGACUCUUUCAGGAGACACGCUGCACUCUGGCCGCGGUGGCCCUGCCGAGCCUCCUGCCAACGCGUACCUUUCUCUGCCUGUUCCUUCCACCCAGGUGAGACCCUGGAUCUCAGCCCUGGUCCCAGCUCCCGACGCGCUCCGAGCCCCUUUGCAGAACACCUGCUUGCUUCACCACAGGGCCCUGU